CAGCAGCCGCGGUAAUACGUAGGGUGCAAGCGUUAAUCGGAAUUACUGGGCGUAAAGCGUGCGCAGGCGGUUAUAUAAGACAGAUGUGAAAUCCCCGGGCUCAACCUGGGAACUGCAUUUGUGACUGUAUAGCUAGAGUACGGCAGAGGGGGAUGGAAUUCCGCGUGUAGCAGUGAAAUGCGUAGAUAUGCGGAGGAACACCGAUGGCGAAGGCAAUCCCCUGGGCCUGUACUGACGCUCAUGCACGAAAGCGUGGGGAGCAAACAGGAUUAGAUACCCGUGUAGUCCCUGUCUCUUUACA
Molecule: ribosomal RNA, 301 nt
Filed under: uncultured bacterium
Lineage: Bacteria
Description: partial 16S ribosomal RNA
Rfam family: Bacterial small subunit ribosomal RNA
Source: RNAcentral